This 70-nucleotide transfer RNA is filed under the name Rattus norvegicus (Norway rat). It matches the Rfam family "tRNA". Rfam says of the family: Transfer RNA (tRNA) molecules are approximately 80 nucleotides in length. Lineage: Eukaryota; Metazoa; Chordata; Mammalia; Rodentia; Muridae. The record is from Rfam by way of RNAcentral.
GGGGAUUUAGCUCAGUGGUAGAGCGCUUGCCUAGGAAGCGCAAGGCCCUGGGUUCAGUCCCCAGCCCCCA